RNAcentral lists this unclassified non-coding RNA (242 nucleotides) under uncultured fungus. Its description in RNAcentral is "partial contains 5.8S ribosomal RNA and internal transcribed spacer 2". The stretch from base 1 to 129 matches the Rfam family "5.8S ribosomal RNA", at positions 22 to 154 of the family's 154-position model. Rfam says of the family: 5.8S ribosomal RNA (5.8S rRNA) is a component of the large subunit of the eukaryotic ribosome. The record is from RNAcentral. Lineage: Eukaryota; Fungi.
UGGUUCUCGCAUCGAUGAAGAACGCAGCGAAAUGCGAUACGUAGUAUGACUUGCAGACGUGAAUCAUCGAAUCUUUGAACGCACAUUGCGCCUUGGGGCAUUCUCCAAGGCAUGCCUGUUUGAGCGUGAUUUCUUCUCACCGCCCAGGUGGUUUUGCAUCCGCUAAAUAACAUAUCCGCAGCGAAGUCUACGCUUUCACUGCACCAUGCUAUUUCCUCAAAUCAGGUAGGACUACCCGCUGA